Molecule: non-coding RNA, 68 nt
Organism: Podarcis lilfordi (Lilford's wall lizard)
Lineage: Eukaryota; Metazoa; Chordata; Lepidosauria; Squamata; Lacertidae
Source: the annotation of a GenBank genome assembly
AAUGGGAUAGCUCAGUUGGUUAGAGUGUGGUGCUGAUAACACCAAGGUUGCAGCGUCAAUUCCCAUUA